UGGAUUCACAGACUGACCAUGAGUUCAGGUUCCAGAUCAGGUUCCAGAUCAGGUCCAGAUUAGGCAGGAUCACUGUCCAAGAUGAACGACCAAGUCAGAGAACGAAACCAGGUCCAAUCCAACCUUUAGUCCAAUGUUCUGACCACAGAGGAGGAACCUGAAUUCAUGGUCAGUCUGUGAAUCCAUGGAUCCUCUGCUCCAGAAAUAACAUCUGUGAAGUGGGGACAGAUUUUGGACAGCAGAAUCACGUUGGUAAAUCUGUAUUCGUCAAUUCAUAAAGUUGUAUUUCCUGUUUGUAAUUCUUGUCCAAACUUAUUCAUUCAUAUUCUGAUAAAAUACACACAAUACAUUUAAUGUACGACUGAACUCAUUCAACAGUUUACACAUAUUUAUUUUUGCACAAAUAUAAACUAAUAUGAACACAUAUCUGUCUGAUGCACAUGAAUCUUUUGACACCGAUCUAACCCUAUAGUCUUUUCUGUAUUUAAUUGUGGGGAAUUUGAGUGUUGUACAGUCAGAGCACUUUAUGAACAUCUUAAGCCUUAAAUCCCUUUGAAAUAGUCAUCAAGAGCGACGGUGGAAAAGGUUUGGUAUGGGGGAAGUUUAAGGAUGGUGGGUUUAAGGUCUGCUGAAGGUCGACCUGAGUCUGUAUAUAGUGUGGGUUGUACUGAUGAGUUUCAAACUAAUAUUUUAUUCCUGUACUAACACUGUCAUUUUUAACUAACCACAUAACAAGUAUUUAAUCACAAUAAUGCCCCCCCCCUCCCCUCUUCUCACUUAUUUCACCCCCAAGUGAGUGCUAUUUAAUUGGCUGUAGAAGGUGUAGAAGGUGGACGGUGUGAACAGAAUAGGGCUGCUGCAGUAUCCAAUGACGGUGGGAGCAGGUCUCGCACCACAGAAUUAGUUUGUACCGAUUCAUUCUGCCUGUGUUUUGUACGUCAUUUGUUGGGUUUUCGUGUCGCUUCAGAGAAUGACCUUUUUACGUGUAAGAAUAUGUUUCUGAGUUUGGAGUCUUGGUAGCAUUCUGUAAACUAAAUCUGAGUAAGUUGUUAAAUCCUCAAGGAAAAUGAAAAUAUUUGUUGUGUUGUAAACAGAACUGAUCAUAUUUUUUCAGUCUUUUUCUUUGGUGUACUUGAUCUGGGGCCAUGUUGGGACUCAUUUGGAAUGUACUGUCUCUCAUACUGUGUAAUGAUGCUGUUUUCUACUCUGUUACGAACUGUAGCACACCGUGGAAUGUCUUCUGCUGUCUGAUGUGUUUGCAUCCUCUCAGUUUCCAGUGUCUUGGAGCUUCCUCCAGCUGGUUCAAACCUGAAAUCAAAGACCAAACUGCUGUGCACUGGGGGUCAUAAAUGUAUUUUUCAUAUAAUGUACUCUGUAAGUUGAAAAUAAAGGAUAUACAUUUAGCUCUAAAUCAAAAUUAUUCAAACUAUAUUCUAUUUAUUAACAUAUAAUGUUUUGUAGCCAUCUACUGUAGCUCUAUCUCAUCAGUGCAGGAAAUGGUCAUGUGUGUUAAACAGUUUCACUCAACAGUGUGAUGUGUUGAUAUUUGAUUAUCCUUUUUAUUUAGUUUUUCUGUUUUUUUUUUUUUAGAUAUUUAAGUGCAGCUGUUUUCUCUUUCACUCCUCUUUAUAACCAGGCCAUUGAACUAAGGCUUAAACAGGCCUGCCCUAUACUGUAUGUAUGAGAUUCUGCAUUCAUUCUACUAAAUAAAGUGUCAUGUUGAAACUGAUGCA
Long non-coding RNA from Sphaeramia orbicularis (orbiculate cardinalfish), 1733 nucleotides. RefSeq lists it as uncharacterized. NCBI's taxonomy places the organism in Eukaryota, Metazoa, Chordata, Actinopteri, Kurtiformes, Apogonidae. The transcript is spliced from 2 exons. The record is from RefSeq and is a predicted model, not a curated record.